RNAcentral lists this ribosomal RNA (507 nucleotides) under uncultured bacterium. RNAcentral describes it as "partial 16S ribosomal RNA". It matches the Rfam family "Bacterial small subunit ribosomal RNA", at positions 28 to 507 of the family's 1533-position model. The record is from RNAcentral.
GACGAACGCUGGCGGCGUGCCUAAUACAUGCAAGUCGAACGCAUAGUCUUUGACCGUGGCUUGCUACACCGAGAGAAAAUGAGGGGCGAAAGGGGGGGAAACACGUCGUUAACCUGCCCAACAGCGGGGGAAAACAGGUGGAAACAGGUGAUAAUAUCGCAUAAUUCCAUGUACCGCAGGGUAGAUCGAUGAAAGGGGCUUUUGCGGCAGUGAUGGAGGGACCUGCGGGGGAUUAGGUAGUUGGUGGGGUUACGGGCUACCAAGGCUGCGAUGCAUAGCCGCACUGCGAGGGUGGUCAGCCGCCCUGGGACUGUGACACGGCCCAGACUCCUUCGGGAAGCAGCAGGAGGGAAUCUUCGGGCAUCGGCGCAAGUCUUACCGCGACACGCCGCGGGCGCAGAGAAGGUUUUCGGGUCCUAAAACUCUGUUGUUAGGUAAUAAACAGGAUGCGAGUGGAAAGUUCAUCCCUUGACGGUAUCUAAUCAGAAAGCCACGGCUAACUACGUG